This 253-nucleotide ribosomal RNA is filed under the name uncultured bacterium. RNAcentral's name for it is "partial 16S ribosomal RNA". It matches the Rfam family "Bacterial small subunit ribosomal RNA", at positions 524 to 776 of the family's 1533-position model. The record is from RNAcentral.
UACGGAGGGUGCGAGCGUUGUCCGGAAUCAUUGGGCGUAAAGGGCGCGUAGGUGGCCCGGUCAGUUCGUGGUGAAAGCGCGGGGCUCAACUCCGCGUCGGCCAUGAAUACUGCUGGGCUGGAGCACUGUAGAGGCAGGCGGAAUUUCGGGUGUAGCGGUGGAAUGCGUAGAGAUCCGGAAGAACACCGGUGGCGAAGGCGGCCUGCUGGGCAGUGGCUGACACUGAGGCGCGACAGCGUGGGGAGCAAACAGG